RNAcentral lists this ribosomal RNA (253 nucleotides) under uncultured bacterium. RNAcentral's name for it is "partial 16S ribosomal RNA". It matches the Rfam family "Bacterial small subunit ribosomal RNA", at positions 524 to 776 of the family's 1533-position model. The record is from RNAcentral.
UACAGAGGGUGCAAGCGUUGUUCGGAAUUACUGGGCGUAAAGGGCUCGUAGGUGGCCAACUAAGUCAGACGUGAAAUCCCUCAGCUUAACUGGGGAACUGCGUCUGAUACUGGAUGGCUUGAGUUUGGGAGAGGGAUGCGGAAUUCCAGGUGUAGCGGUGAAAUGCGUAGAUAUCUGGAGGAACACCGGUGGCGAAGGCGGCAUCCUGGACCAAUACUGACACUGAGGAGCGAAAGCCAGGGGAGCAAACGGG